GGUGCUGUAGCUCAAGUGGUAGAGCAUUAGCUUUGAGCUAAAGAAAUCAAGGACAGCACCC
RNAcentral lists this transfer RNA (61 nucleotides) under Dipodomys ordii (Ord's kangaroo rat). The record is from Rfam by way of RNAcentral. Lineage: Eukaryota; Metazoa; Chordata; Mammalia; Rodentia; Heteromyidae.